This 2885-nucleotide ribosomal RNA is filed under the name Pseudoalteromonas piscicida. RNAcentral's name for it is "23S ribosomal RNA". It matches the Rfam family "Bacterial large subunit ribosomal RNA". Lineage: Bacteria; Pseudomonadati; Pseudomonadota; Gammaproteobacteria; Alteromonadales; Pseudoalteromonadaceae. RNAcentral also lists the same sequence under 2 other names. The record is from RNAcentral.
GGUUAAGUGACUAAGCGUACACGGUGGAUGCCUUGGCAGUUGGAGGCGAUGAAGGACGUACUAACUUGCGAUAAGCCUAGUCAAGCCAGUAAGAGGCGCUUGAGACUAGGAUUUCCGAAUGGGGAAACCCACCUGCUUGCAGGUAUCGUUAACUGAAUACAUAGGUUAACGAGGCGAACGCGGAGAACUGAAACAUCUAAGUACCCGUAGGAAAAGAAAUCAACCGAGAUUCCGAAAGUAGCGGCGAGCGAAAUCGGACCAGCCCUUAAGCUUUAGUGUAGUUAGUGGAACAUGCUGGAAAGCAUGACGAAACAGGGUGAUAGUCCCGUACACAAAAACUUAUCUAAAGUGAAAUCGAGUAGGUCGGAGCACGUGAAACUUUGACUGAAUAUGGGGGGACCAUCCUCCAAGGCUAAAUACUCCCAACUGACCGAUAGUGAACCAGUACCGUGAGGGAAAGGCGAAAAGAACCCCUGUGAGGGGAGUGAAAUAGAACCUGAAACCGUGUACGUACAAGCAGUAGGAGCCUACUUGUUGGGUGACUGCGUACCUUUUGUAUAAUGGGUCAGCGACUUAUAUUCUGUAGCGAGGUUAACCAUUUAGGGGAGCCGUAGCGAAAGCGAGUCUUAACUGGGCGCUUAAGUUGCAGGGUAUAGACCCGAAACCCGGUGAUCUAGCCAUGGGCAGGUUGAAGGUUGAGUAACAUCAACUGGAGGACCGAACCCACUAACGUUGAAAAGUUAGGGGAUGACCUGUGGCUAGGAGUGAAAGGCUAAUCAAACCGGGAGAUAGCUGGUUCUCCCCGAAAUCUAUUUAGGUAGAGCCUCGGACGAAUACUUACGGGGGUAGAGCACUGUUAAGGCUAGGGGGUCAUCCCGACUUACCAACCCUUUGCAAACUCCGAAUACCGUAAAGUAAUAUCCGGGAGACACACGGCGGGUGCUAACGUCCGUCGUGGAGAGGGAAACAACCCAGACCGUCAGCUAAGGUCCCAAAGUGUAUGUUAAGUGGGAAACGAUGUGGGAAGGCUAAAACAGCUAGGAGGUUGGCUUAGAAGCAGCCACCCUUUAAAGAAAGCGUAAUAGCUCACUAGUCGAGUCGGCCUGCGCGGAAGAUGUAACGGGGCUAAACAUACCACCGAAGCUACGGCUGCGUACGUAAGUAUGCGGGGUAGGGGAGCGUUCUGUAAGUGGCUGAAGGUGUGCCGGGAGGCAUGCUGGACAUAUCAGAAGUGCGAAUGCUGACAUGAGUAACGACAAGAGGAGUGAAAAACUCCUCCGCCGGAAGACCAAGGGUUCCUAUCCCAUGUUAAUCAGGGUAGGGUGAGUCGACCCCUAAGGCGAGGCUGAAGAGCGUAGUCGAUGGGAAACGGGUUAAUAUUCCCGUACUCGGUAUGAAUGCGAUGGGGGGACGGAGCAGGCUAGGCAAGCAUGGCGUUGGUUGUCCAUGUGAAAGGCUGUAGGCUGGUGACUUAGGAAAAUCCGGGUUGCUAAGGCUGAGAGUCGAGACGAGCCACUAAGGUGGUGAAGUUGUUGAUGCCCUACUUCCAGGAAAAGCCUCUAAGCUUCAGUUCAUACUGAAUCGUACCCUAAACCGACACAGGUGGUCAGGUAGAGAAUACUAAGGCGCUUGAGAGAACUCGGGUGAAGGAACUAGGCAAAAUUGUACCGUAACUUCGGGAGAAGGUACGCUCUUGUUUGUGAAGGACUUGCUCUGUAAGCAAACGAGAGCCGCAGUGACCAGGUGGCUGGGACUGUUUAUUAAAAACACAGCACUGUGCAAAAUCGUAAGAUGACGUAUACGGUGUGACACCUGCCCGGUGCCGGAAGGUUAAUUGAUGGGGUUAGCUUAGGCGAAGCUCUUGAUCGAAGCCCCGGUAAACGGCGGCCGUAACUAUAACGGUCCUAAGGUAGCGAAAUUCCUUGUCGGGUAAGUUCCGACCUGCACGAAUGGUGUAACCAUGGCCACGCUGUCUCCACCCGAGACUCAGUGAAAUUGAAAUCGCAGUGAAGAUGCUGUGUACCCGCGGCUAGACGGAAAGACCCCGUGAACCUUUACUACAGCUUGGCACUGAACAUUGACCCUACAUGUGUAGGAUAGGUGGGAGGCUUUGAAGCAGAGACGCUAGUUUCUGUGGAGCCGACCUUGAAAUACCACCCUUGUAGUGUUGAUGUUCUAACUUAGGCCCCUGAAUCGGGGUUGAGGACAGUGCCUGGUGGGUAGUUUGACUGGGGCGGUCUCCUCCCAAAGAGUAACGGAGGAGCACGAAGGUUUGCUAAGUACGGUCGGACAUCGUACGGUUAGUGUAAUGGUAGAAGCAAGCUUAACUGCGAGACAGACACGUCGAGCAGGUACGAAAGUAGGUCAUAGUGAUCCGGUGGUUCUGAAUGGAAGGGCCAUCGCUCAACGGAUAAAAGGUACUCCGGGGAUAACAGGCUGAUACCGCCCAAGAGUUCAUAUCGACGGCGGUGUUUGGCACCUCGAUGUCGGCUCAUCACAUCCUGGGGCUGAAGUCGGUCCCAAGGGUAUGGCUGUUCGCCAUUUAAAGUGGUACGCGAGCUGGGUUUAGAACGUCGUGAGACAGUUCGGUCCCUAUCUGCCGUGGGCGUUUGAGAAUUGAGAGGGGCUGCUCCUAGUACGAGAGGACCGGAGUGGACGAACCGCUGGUGUUCGGGUUGUGAUGCCAAUUGCAUUGCCCGGUAGCUACGUUCGGAACUGAUAACCGCUGAAAGCAUCUAAGCGGGAAGCAGGCCUCGAGAUGAGUUCUCACUUUGACUUAGAGUCAACUGAAGGGCCGUUGAAGACUACAACGUUGAUAGGCGAGAUGUGGAAGUGCUGUGAGGCAUUAAGCUAACUCGUACUAAUUACCCGUGAGGCUUAACCAU